GGAAGGGUGCUGGAGCGGCUGAUCAGGCGCGCCUGGAGAGCGCGUAGGCGGGUAACCCUGCCUCGUGGGUUCAAAUCCCACCCCUUCCGCCA
This 92-nucleotide transfer RNA is filed under the name Bacillota bacterium. RNAcentral's name for it is "Firmicutes bacterium (anaerobic digester metagenome) tRNA-Ser". It matches the Rfam family "tRNA". Rfam says of the family: Transfer RNA (tRNA) molecules are approximately 80 nucleotides in length. Their secondary structure includes four short double-helical elements and three loops (D, anti-codon, and T loops). Lineage: Bacteria; Bacillati; Bacillota. The record is from RNAcentral.